CGUCCGAAAUCGCAUACUUCUCUACUAUAUAGAAUGGAAAAAGUAGUAUGCGACAAAUUAGUAUGUUUGAAUCUUUUGCGUCCAUAAAAGAGUGGGCGAGAAUUCCAAUAACUCUCGCGAGAUUCAGUUGUACGUAUACUUAAUUUGCGUUCUAAUAUGCCUACUCACCUACUAUAUAGUAGGGAAAAAGAGUAUGUGAAGAAAGAAGUACGUUCAAAACCUUGAACCAUAAAACAGUAGGCGAGAAAUCCCCGGAUGUCCUACUGCUUCAGCGAAGAGCGAAGGGUUCAUCGAUGGAUACUUUUCAAUCCCAGAAUGCCACGCGAAAGGGAUAAAUCGUCAUCGAACGUGAAGGAGAGCAGCGACGUGGGUGUUUACCAAGGGACAGAUGAGACACAAGAAUGUUUAUCUGCUGCAGAGAGACUGAUGAAGAAAUGCUGCCAUCAAAGCCUCUCGGUGAGUACACUACAGUCAUCAAUCUUUUAGAUCUUAAGUUGUAGUUUAUUAAUAAACAGUUAUUACAGCACUUUUCUGAUUCUUGAUUGCUGUACAUUUGAUGCAGAUCUUUUGUGGUUGAGCAGGUGACAGAGGCAUUUGUGGAUGAACCAGAGACCAAAAUAUAAAGUAAGAUCAUUCUGUUACUUCUAAUACAGAAAUGAAAUAACACUGUGCUGUUAAAAUGACUGCUUUUGUUUUGUGCUUGUGCAUCUUUGCAGGAUCUGAAAUGUCUUCAGACAGCUGUGUGCACUGAGGAUGGAGAAGACGGAGUGUCAUGGGUGAAACGCUCCAUCACUGCAUAUCCUCUUUCUUUCUCAUCAGGACCAGAUGCUGCUGUGGUCUCUUCAUCGUCAGUGACCCCAGAGCCAGUGAGAACAUCUAGAGAAAGACCACAAGACACUGAGGAUGUGAUUUUGGUCAAGUUUGUUCUGCUGGUUUCUGUUCAUACAACAUCAGUCAAUGAAACCCGAGUUUCAGAAGUUUCUAAAGCAUCAUCAAAUAAUGUCAUGAAAAAUCUGAAAGUCAGGUUCCAUUGACUGAUACUGUAUGAACACAAACCAGCAGGAGAAACCAGACCAAAAUCACCUUUUGUGUUUGGACAAAGGAUUGAACAGAAUGAAGGCAAGUCGUUAAUGACUGAAUUUAUACGUUUAGAUGAACUGACCCUUUAAAACCCCAAAUAGAAACUGUAUUAAAUGUAUGCAUGCAUUAAUAUUAUAGUAGAACAUUGAAGAAAAAAAGCUUUAAGAAAUAAGCAGCUUUAUUGAUCAUUUUUUGUCCAAGACACAAAAAAGCAUUCACAAAAUUCACAUUUACAUGUAUUAAUUGGCUAGACACUUUUAUCUGAAGUGACAGUGCUCUUAUUACAGGACCUCAAUCCCUCUGGAGUCACCUGGAGUAAAGACUGGUGGAGACUGAUCCAGCAACCUUCUGAUCACCAGUCCAGUUCACUACACCACAGAAAUACUGAAGCUAUAUCAAAUUAACAUGCAAUUGUAAAAAAAAUUAAAUUAAAUUCAGCAGUAAAUAGAAUGCUGACAACAUGAUAUAAAGCGUUUUACUCCGUGUAAAUGUUUUCCAGGUAGUGGUGCUCAUGGAGAGCAGCACACAGAUCUUUGGAGCAGACACAGCAGUCAGAUCAUCCCACACAUGUUCUCCAGCUCUUGUUCAGGGUCGUGUGGUCCAGGGUCUUCAUCAUGGUGUUCCUGAUCCUCUCAGUGCACUCAGAAAAGGACUCAAUGUCCCUCUCUCAUCAUGAUCAGAUUCAGUCUGACUGCAGCAGUGAGGGACGUGAUGGACGGAUGUGGGUUCACCGUCUGUAAACAUUCAAAAACAGAACAAUGUCUGAAUAAAGUUUUGUUUCAUGUGU
Long non-coding RNA from Carassius carassius (crucian carp), 1867 nucleotides. RefSeq lists it as uncharacterized. The record is from RefSeq and is a predicted model, not a curated record. The transcript has 2 exons. NCBI's taxonomy places the organism in Eukaryota, Metazoa, Chordata, Actinopteri, Cypriniformes, Cyprinidae.